Molecule: long non-coding RNA, 2396 nt
Organism: Gallus gallus (chicken)
Lineage: Eukaryota; Metazoa; Chordata; Aves; Galliformes; Phasianidae
Source: Ensembl
CCGAGCGGCUCCCGGCCCUCCGGCAGCGCUGCGACCUCGCAUCUCCGGGGAGCAUCGCUGGAAUUCCCGGAGUUUUCCUUACAAAAAGGCUUCACUCUGCGCAAGGAAACAGCAGAGCCCUUCCCCCAGGCUUACUGCAGAGGUUGGAUCUUGCUGCCACCGCUGUUGAGAUGAAUGGGCAGCGCAAGGAAUUGAUGCUCGCUGCUGUUUCCAAAGUGAAGGAGGGUUUUUUAAAGCAGAGCACGUGAGCAAAGAUGUAAGCGAGAGCGCAGAGAUGGCCCAGGUUCUUCUGGUUUGGGGGAGGAGAGCUGAGCGUGCCCUGCUCUUGCAGGUGGCACUGCCCUGCCUUCAGCAGUGGGAAACUGUUAAUAAUCCUACAGCUGUUCUAAGAGCAUCUCAGGCAAUAGGGUGAGUCACAGGCCGGAGAGCAGCACUGCAGCAGCGUGCACUGAAACAAACAGUGCGGUGUUCUGUGUAGGCUUGGAGGACACAGAAGCUUUCUGACGUAGAAACCGGUGCAGGUGUGGAGGCAGAGACCUCAGAGAGCUGGCUGUUCUCAGAGCAAACAGAGCUCGGGGAAGGAGAGGCCUCGUUGGGUGUGUUGGUGAUAGGGAAAUGAUGUGCCGGGGUCAGGGGGUGUCUGCUUGGCGUGGGAGGGAGAGGGACGGGUAAGGUUACACGAGUGAAACGUGACUACCUUUGCUCUCUUUCUCAGGUCAGAUAGCCUGCAGUUAGAUCUUAUCAGCCGAGAGCUGAAUUAAUCAUGGGCUGAGCGUUAUAACUGAAGGGAAUCGCUCAAACUGUGAGGGCAUGCUGCUACUCAGCUCGGUGCGAACUAAAGAACGAGGAGGAAUGAAAGGCGACCUCUGAUGAAGGCUGUAUUCAGCAUAUUAUCAGUGCCUCAGGGGACGGAAGAACCCAACGGAUCCUCCUUUAAGAACGAAAAGAUGCAGAUGUGAUGCAAGCUCAGCAAAAUCCCCGUGAUAAAUGGAGCCCCUUCCUAAUGGCUUACUUAUUUUAUCACUGGUUGCUGAACCGGUGCCUGCUUUACAGAUCUUCACAGAGUUUUACACACAUAUAUAAUGUACAUAUAUCUGGAUGAUCUGUAUUCGUACAGUGAAAAUCAAUAUGUAAUCAAAAUCUAGUAUUCCUGCAUACAUCUGGUUAAGAGUCCCUGCAUUUAGGGUUUAGAGGGUCACGGGAAGAUGGAAUGGUGAUCAUGAGAGCACUUUGGGAGGAGUUUGAAUUCAUUUUCACUGGAGAAAAAGAAGCAUUCUGCAGGUAACAGCUGGCAGUGUUAACCUAUUGUCAACACUGUCAGAAAUGAGAGGAGAUUUUUCUGUUUGUUUUAGUAAUAACCUAUGCACAGGCCCUGAUAAGUCCUGGACAACAGACAGCACUGUGUGUUCUUGAGCAGCCACUUCCUUCUUUGGCAGAAGUUAACAAUUACAGACCAGUAGUUUCCUAAUAAGACUUCAAACGGCACUCGAAUUAAAGAUAACUCCGUGAGGAUGUUUGGUUGACAGCCAUGGUGGUAUUCAUCUCACAGGGGCUGUGAGCACCCAGAAGCCCUCCGGUCGCUCUCAGUGCAGCCCUGCCCUGCGAAGCCUGGCAGCCACCCCAGCAGACAAUUACCAGUUUGGGGAUGCCAGAGCACUGAAGUCCUGUUUGGCUGCCUCUGCCCAGGCAACAUCCUUAUGGGACUGGAUUGUAUCAGCAAAUGAUGAGCAGGCACAUGGAUUGGCGUUAAUUCUUUUUCAGUGUGCUGUUCCUCCUGCUGCCAAGAGCUCAAUUGUCGCACAGAUACUGGAGAUCUAUUGCCUAUUCAGAAGGCAGAGUGAAUUAUUCUUUGGUAUUUGCAGAACUAUGGCAACAGCCAAAAAUGUAAGAGGUGUAUUCGGGAUGAGAUGACCAAGAGAGUGAACAAAGCAAGCAAGCUGUUACAAGUAAUCUCUGAAACUGCGUGGGACAUCGCAACGUCUGGGAUGUCUGCUGGCACUGCAGAAAAGGACCGGAUUGCGAUGGGAGCUUCCCAGUACAGAGAGCUGAGCUCCUGUGUGCUGUGUCUGGUCCUGCUUUGCCACGCUGGACCCAGAUGAAAGCUGCUCCCAUCACACAGCAGAUGAAUACCAACUUGCGGGCACAGCGAGGACACCACCAGGACAAAGCACAGAGCUCCUGGGCAGCGUCCCAGCUCUGAGCAGUGUGCAGCAGGCAGGUGGCUGCUGAGAAGUGGGAUUCCUUAGGUGUGGUGCAGCCGCAUCCACGUGCUGGCACUGCCCAUCCUGCUUGUUGACAUUGCAUGCACAAAUCACAGGUGUGACAUCCGUAUGUUUCCUAAACAAUGUGUUGAAAGCAUGGUGGCUCGGGAAGGAUUUGUACAGCAGAGAGCAAGU